Molecule: long non-coding RNA, 654 nt
Organism: Amphimedon queenslandica
Lineage: Eukaryota; Metazoa; Porifera; Demospongiae; Haplosclerida; Niphatidae
Exons: 2
Source: RefSeq, a predicted model, not a curated record
UAGAUACUAUAUAUACCAAGUGGAUGCGAAACAGGAAGUGGAUUGUACAUGAAAUUAUAUUGGUGACGUCACGAGCAGUAUGCCUAUGCUCUUUUCGCUCUAGCGUAGCCUCUACUGGCCUUGUUUCUCGAAGUUUUGGGUUCUUGGUCAAGUUACUACUUUCCUGAGUUGAAGUAAGUAUUAUGAAGUCUCUAUUAGCUCGAAUGACCUGCUGAAUCCUUGUUUGCUUGAUCACUGGAUCUCGUUGUACUGUAAAACAUGGCGGCCUAUAGUUCUGACUUUAAACACCUUUUCUCCAAUCUGGGGCAGAGCUAGUAAGUGUUAUUUGGGUAGAAGAAGGAUAUUAUUGUGUUACAUGGUCUGUAACUACUAGCUUUCCACUGCAGUUUUAUAAAAUAGAAAUAUAUCCAUUUUUUAGUUUAUUAAUGGUCUGUUUUGUAAACGCCUUUUCUGGAAAACUAUGCGAUUUGAAGAGGUAUAAUUUUGUAUGUGUCUACGUACAUGCCUUUUGUACGGUUUGUAUAUUUUCAUAAUUAUUUUAAAGCUAUGUUUCUUCAAAAAAAGGUAUGAAUAUGAAACCAAUGAAGAUAAAUUGUCUGUUGUUUCUUGUAUUGACUCUUUUCAGAAGAAAUAUAGAUUUUUAUGAAGUUUUUU